RNAcentral lists this long non-coding RNA (598 nucleotides) under Danio rerio (zebrafish). RNAcentral describes it as "si:ch211-195i24.1 (ENSDARG00000095808.3)". The record is from RNAcentral. Lineage: Eukaryota; Metazoa; Chordata; Actinopteri; Cypriniformes; Danionidae.
AACGUACUCCAGAGACGCACUAACUUGCACAGCAUUGAAUGGAAAAGGCUUUGUCCAUGUUUUCUGGAAGCUCCAUUUGAGGGCAUCAAGGACAUACUGAUGGCCUAAACCAGUGUCAGCCUAGACAGACAGACAUCUAUUGCAGUUCUGCUACACAAGACCAAACUCUCUGCUUUUGUAUGGAUGUCUGACUAGUACGGUGUUCUCUAAAGGUAUAACUGGAGCAAAGCAACAGCAUCCGUUACAGUGAAAUUUGUGUUCAUAAAAGAUAGUGAUAUAUGUGUAACAGGUCCAGUACAUUUGUCAUAAAGGUUAAAUCACAGUAAGUACUGUAAAAAUAACUUGUUUGCCUCUGCCACAACAGGUCAUGGUGUGUGCUUACUGCUCGUAGUAAACGCACACGCUGAUCUGAUGCGGGAGAGAUAUAUGCAAACAUAUUUGUAUUUACUGUUUUGUUUUGCCUCACUAAAGUGUUGUUGGAGCUUGGUAUGUUCACAGUUGAAAUCACUGAAGUCACAUGGAACGUUUUGACAAUGUGUUUUGUGCCUUAUCUGGACAAUGACCAUCUUGGGACCAUUGCUGUCUGUAGAGGAUGAGG